This 429-nucleotide ribosomal RNA is filed under the name uncultured archaeon. RNAcentral's name for it is "bacterial SSU rRNA". It matches the Rfam family "Archaeal small subunit ribosomal RNA", at positions 474 to 903 of the family's 1478-position model. The record is from RNAcentral.
UACCUGCAGCUCGAGUGGUAACCGCUAUUAUUGGGCCUAAAGCGUCCGUAGCCGGUUUGGUAAAUAUCUGGGUAAAUCGUGAGGCUUAACUUCACGAAUUUCGGAUAGACUGCCAGACUUGGGAUCGGGGGAGGUCAGAGGUACUCCAGGGGUAGCGGUGAAAUGUUGUAAUCCUUGGAGGACCACCGGUAGCGAAGGCGUCUGACUAGAACGAGUCCGACGGUGAGGGACGAAGCCCUGGGGCGCAAACCGGAUUAGAUACCCGGGUAGUCCAGGGUGUAAACGAUGUGGGCUUUGUAUUGGAGGUCCCACGUGGGCGUCCAGUGCAGAAGAGAAGUUGUUAAGCCCACCGCCUGGGAAGUACGGUCGCAAGGCUGAAACUUAAAGGAAUUGGCGGGAGAGCACAGCAACGGGAGGAGCGUGCGGUUU